AGAGUUUGAUCAUGGCUCAGGACGAACGCUGGCGGCGUGCCUAACACAUGCAAGUCGAACGGACUAAUGUUUGACACUGAGUGUUUUAAGAAGGAUCAAGAAGAGUCAAGACCCGAAGCGGGGGAGAACAUUCAGAGUUGAACAUUAGUUAGUGGCGGACGGGUGAGUAACGCGUGGGUAAUCUGCCUAAGAGUGGGGAAUAACAGUUGGAAACGRCUGCUAAUACCGCAUAAACUGCUAACGCAGCAAAGAUGGCCUCUUAACAAUGCUGUCGCUUUUAGAUGAGCCCGCGUCUGAUUAGCUAGUUGGUGGGGUAAAGGCCUACCAAGGCAACGAUCAGUAGCCGGCCUGAGAGGGUGAACGGCCACACUGGGACUGAGACACGGCCCAGACUCCUACGGGAGGCAGCAGUGGGGAAUAUUGCGCAAUGGGGGAAACCCUGACGCAGCGACGCCGCGUGAGCAAGAAGGCCUUAGGGUUGUAAAGCUCUGUUUUAAGGGACGAAUGUUCGCGUCAGUAAUAUGGGCGUGAAAUGACGGUACCUUAAGAGGAAGCCCCGGCUAACUACGUGCCAGCAGCCGCGGUAAGACGUAGGGGGCGAGCGUUGUCCGGAAUUACUGGGCGUAAAGAGCACGUAGGCGGGACAUUAAGUCAGGUGUGAAAGACCGGGGCUCAACCUCGGGGUUGCACUUGAAACUGGAGUUCUUGAGGGCAGGAGAGGAAAGCAGAAUUCCUGGUGUAGCGGUGAAAUGCGUAGAAAUCAGGAGGAAUACCAGUGGCGAAGGCGGCUUUCUGGACUGACCCUGACGCU
RNAcentral lists this ribosomal RNA (811 nucleotides) under uncultured bacterium. Its description in RNAcentral is "bacterial SSU rRNA". It matches the Rfam family "Bacterial small subunit ribosomal RNA", at positions 8 to 747 of the family's 1533-position model. The record is from RNAcentral.